AGACUCUAGAAAUGGUUGCACCCUUUGGAAACUGAGGCUAUGAUAUUGACAUGGCCACAGAGGAUUAACAUUGCACUAGGUGUGGCUAGAGCCUUAUCUUGGCUCCAUCAUUUAUGCAAUCUGCAUGUGGUGCACUUGAAUAUUUGUUCACGGAGUAUCUUGCUAGAUAAGAAUUUCGAACCCAAGUUAUCCAAUUUUGGAGAUGCCAAGUUUUUGAACCCCAACAACCAUGAGAGUCUAGGCAUGUCGUUUUAUAUCAAGGAUGGGAAGAAGGAUGUUUAUGAUUUUGGUAAUGUAAUUUUUGAGUUGGUCACGGGAAAAUUAUAUGAGGAAUUGGUGGAGAAUUCAUGUAACAAUGCUAAUCUAUCUCCUAAUCCUUCAAGUUUUUAUAGUGCAAUUGAUAAGUUUAUUAUUGGUGAAGGGUUUGAAAGUGAAGCGUUUAUGCUCAUCAAGAUUGCUUGCGAGUGUGUUCAGCCUCCUAUUGGGAGGGUGUUGAGGCAUCCAUGGAUGGGGUAUUGGGAGGGUUUGCAAAUGUGAACAAACCUGAUAUCAAAUGCAGUGAGGAGUUUUUGAAGAUUAUUUUGUCUGAACGUUUUCCAGCUGAUGCUAGACACCAACCACUUGUUGCUCUUGAUUGCGGUUCUGGCAUUGGCAGAAUUACAAAAAAUCUGUUAAUAAGACACUUCAAUGAGGUCUAUCAGACUUUUU
Molecule: non-coding RNA, 708 nt
Organism: Arachis ipaensis
Lineage: Eukaryota; Viridiplantae; Streptophyta; Magnoliopsida; Fabales; Fabaceae
Source: RefSeq, a predicted model, not a curated record